ACAGUGGGAAAAAUUGAUCAGGCUAAGGCACAAGGAUGCAGAGGCUGCUAAUGGAUUCAGAAAAAAAUAUCCUCACUGAGGAUCUUGCAUAAUUUUGCAUACAUAACUGGAUUAUCUCUAUAUACUAUUAAAGGCGAUAAAAAAAUUGUUUCUAUGACAACAAAUUCAAAUCUAGCUUGAGAGGAUAGAGCACAAACCAGUGAAAACCAAGAUUAAGAACACAAAUACUAAGAAAGUGAACUAAAGCAUGAGUAGGUAGUUGAUGCCCUGCUCGGCUUGUUCUAUCUAUUCACGCAAGAAAUUAUGAGCAUAGAAAAAUUAAAUUAGACCCACAAAGUAAAUUUGUUUUACUUAGCUUUCAAAAAAAAUGUUAUACUUCCCUUGAUCUUAAGUACCCAGUUUUACGAUGACCAUCUCCUGUAAAAUUCUGUGCUCCAAGCU
This 441-nucleotide ribosomal RNA is filed under the name Triticum aestivum (bread wheat). Its description in RNAcentral is "partial small subunit ribosomal RNA". The record is from RNAcentral. Lineage: Eukaryota; Viridiplantae; Streptophyta; Magnoliopsida; Poales; Poaceae.